CUCCCGGGGAAGGCGCGGUGAGAGACGGCCGGGCUCGGCGCUUUCCCGCCCCGGGUGUCCCCCCCUCCCGGCGGGCGGGGAGAGUGGGGAGAAGAUGGCGGCCAUUUUGUGCUUGCGCAGAGGCGAAGGCUUGAGAAAAGUGCAGAGCAAGCAGAAUGGACAAUAACGUUUGGAUACAGAGAGGACAGUGCAUUAAGAAAAAGUUUUGGCCUGAAACUCUUGGACGCAUUAGCUUUUAAUGUUUUCCCAAUAAAAGAGAUUGUGUUUAAAUAUUUUGUAGCAGAAGAUGAUUAGCCCUCAAAAUUAAUUUGCUAGUAAGAUGGAAAGUGUGAUAACUGAAAACAAUGUGACAUCAGCCCUGAUGUCUGUUCUGUAAAAGAUGAUGACAGGAAAAGGUAUGGAACAUUACCAGACUGACAUUUUAUCUUCCUUUUGGUUAGAAAAUGCAGGUAUAUUUUAGGGGUUUUUCCAUUUUGUAGCCUUUACCAAAAUGCACACUUUACAUCUGUAGACAUCAGUGCUGCACUAUGACAGUAGCUUAUGCAGAAUUGACUCAUCAUUGUCCCAACAUCAUCUGGACAGAUAAGCAAGAAAAUGGUAAAAUGGG
Long non-coding RNA from Vidua macroura (Pin-tailed whydah), 607 nucleotides. RefSeq lists it as uncharacterized. The record is from RefSeq and is a predicted model, not a curated record. Lineage: Eukaryota; Metazoa; Chordata; Aves; Passeriformes; Viduidae. The transcript has 3 exons.